Molecule: long non-coding RNA, 2386 nt
Organism: Homo sapiens (human)
Lineage: Eukaryota; Metazoa; Chordata; Mammalia; Primates; Hominidae
Exons: 2
Source: RefSeq, a predicted model, not a curated record
UUAAAAAAUGUGGUAAAAUAGACACCUUUUAAUUGGACCACAUUUUGUCUAUCUCGACGUAGGCCUCAGUGUCAUCAAGGAGACUCUCCUUGACGUGCAGUCACGGCCAUGAUCCAUCUUCAGAGCUUCUCUUUCUUCCCCAAGGCUGGCGCUGAGAUGGGCAGGUGCUGCAGCAGCCCGGCUGGAAGCGAUGCAGCAUCCAGGACGACGGAGGAAGGGGCAGAGAGGGACCUCCGCUUUCCAGGCUGCCUUUUAUACUGCCUCUGGUCACCUGACAUGGAACGUACCCUAACCUAAUCAGUUACCUGUACCUUAAUUGCAAUUAACUUAAUCCAAUUACAUGACCUGGAAAGGUCUAUCUGCACAGCCCACUCUAAGAUCAUGUCCACUGCUGACAGACAUUCUAAAACCUACUUGUACAGCUGCAAGCUUUGAACAAUAGAUGUUCCCCGUCAGACAUGUAACACUGGUGCCUGUACCCGUCUUCUUUUCCAUCUUUUUUGUCGUUUAGUUUUGUUUUGUUUUAAAAAAUGUGGUAAAAUAGACACCUUUUAAUUGGACCACAUUUUGUCUAUCUCGACGUAGGCCUCAGUGUCAUCAAGGAGACUCUCCUUGACAUGCAGUCACGGCCAUGAUCCAUCUUCAGAGCUUCUCUUUCUUCCCCAAGGUAAGUCUGUCAGCAGAGAACCCUGACCGCACCCUCAUGUGUUUUCUCCCCCAGGAGGCGCUUGGAAACCACCGUGAAUUGGACCGCACUGGGAAACACAGAUGAGGAAAGUCAACAACGCUUUGUCCUUCAGUGCCUGGCUCCUUUUUCAGCUCCUCUUGCGACUCCAGGCAUUAUGCCUGAAAAGUCUCCCGGACGCCUGUGAGGCUCUAAUUCCCUGGGUCCCAUUGCCAUGUCUCUGGAUUUGCGAAGAUCCACCGCACCUUCUGUGGAACUCCCGUGUCGGUGAACUUUAGUGCCACGGCCCCUAAUUCUGCCCAUGGUCAUCCGCACCUGCACGACUUAGGGUCCAUGUUCCUUGGACGGGAAGAGACAGGCAGGAGUCGGAAUGAUGAACCAGCACACUGGGGCGUUUUCUCAUGUAGCCCAAGUGACCCCAUGGUCUUCUCGAGCUUUGGAACCAGUCGCGUCCCCUUUGACACUGCACCCGGCUCCCAGUCUCUCAAUCUUGUUGGCCCUCCGGCGAUCUCCCGUUGGAUGAAUUGCUCCUGCUGAAACUCGAGUCCCCUUUGAUUUGCGCUUCAUUAAUUAUUCAUGAUUCAGGUUGGAAGGCCUGCUGACGACCCCCUGUGGCCGUUCUCUGAGCUUUCCUGUCACAUCGUUUCCUUCCACGCUCUUUGGUUCCUUAUGGUCCUGCUCCUUCUGCUGUCAGAGGAGCAGAGAGUUGAUCUUAUUCAUUCUGGAUACGGAUACUUUCUAGGUGAUCUGGAUAAUCAAGAUAACGACCCUCAACAGCGGCGGAAAGGGAGCAGCCAGUUGGUGUGUCUCAGAAAAUCCCGCUGAGUUCCGAGGCCUCCUAGAUGUGGAAUCCUGCUGAGAGUUGGUCCCAGGUCAGAGAAUGGAGAGAGCCUGUGCAUGAUGGGAUAUCCCCGCCUAGAUCUUUUAGUGAGUCUCUGCCUCAGCUACUCUUAGGAUCAGGGGGAGAACCAUGGUGUCAGACAUCCGGAAAGAAGACGGGAUGAAUGUUUUACCUCUGAAGUACAUCCCAAAUGUGGGAGUUAACUUCAGCUUUGCUGGGGUCUAUUUGGCCAGUGAAACUCUGCCUGGUUCCUUCGCACAUCCGGAAGCCACUUCACGGGGGGCCGUCGCAACUGGAACCACACACUUGGCAUCGGCGGUUGAGCCAAAUGGGGACUCGUGGUGCAAGCAACGCUCCCCACGUGUUAGCGUGCGUGAGAUUCGGUUGGCGGAAUUUUACUAGGUGCGUGUUGGUAGAGUGGGGCUGAGGUUUUCUUGCUCCUGUGGAUGUAUAGGAAGUCAAAGGUCCUGCCCAGCCCUGCGGUCCCCUCAGUCAACUCUGUUUCGGAGAGGUAACGAUUUGGAUUGCCAACAAAUCAAGAAAUGUUCAAGCCCUUGGAUGUAGGGUAAAGAAAGAGAGAUCGGACUGUCACUGUGUCUAUGUAGAAGGGGAAGACAUAAGAGACUCCAUUUUGAAAAAGACCUGUACUUUAAACAAUUGCUUCACUGAGAUGUUGAUCAUUUGUAGCUUUGCCGCAGCCCCUUCCUUUGACCCAACUUGGAGCUCACAAAAACCUGUGUUGUAUAAAAUCGAGGUUUAAGGGAUCUAGGGCUGUGCAGGACGCGCCUUGUUAACCAAAUGUUUACGAGCAGUAUACUUGGUAGAAGUCAUUGCCAUUCUCUAGUCUCAAUAAACCAGGG